RNAcentral lists this ribosomal RNA (497 nucleotides) under uncultured bacterium. RNAcentral's name for it is "partial 16S ribosomal RNA". It matches the Rfam family "Bacterial small subunit ribosomal RNA", at positions 28 to 507 of the family's 1533-position model. The record is from RNAcentral.
GAUGAACGCUGGCGGCGUGCCUAAUACAUGCAAGUCGAGCGAACAGACGAGGAGCUUGCUCCUUCGACGUUAGCGGCGGACGGGUGAGUAACACGUAGGUAACCUACCUAUAAGACUGGGAUAACUUCGGGAAACCGGAGCUAAUACCGGAUAAUAUUUCGAACCGCAUGGUUCGAUAGUGAAAGAUGGCUUUGCUAUCACUUAUAGAUGGACCUGCGCCGUAUUAGCUAGUUGGUAAGGUAACGGCUUACCAAGGCAACGAUACGUAACCGACCUGAGAGGGGGAGCGGCCACACUGGAACUGAGACACGGUCCAGACUCCUACGGGAGGCAGCAGUAGGGAAUCUUCCGCAAUGGGCGAAAGCCUGACGGAGCAACGCCGCGUGAGUGAUGAAGGUCUUCGGAUCGUAAAACUCUGUUAUUAGGGAAGAACAAACGUGUAAGUAACUGUGCACGUCUUGACGGUACCUAAUCAGAAAGCCACGGCUAACUACGUG